This 329-nucleotide unclassified non-coding RNA is filed under the name soil metagenome. RNAcentral describes it as "partial contains 5.8S ribosomal RNA, internal transcribed spacer 2, and large subunit ribosomal RNA". The stretch from base 1 to 120 matches the Rfam family "5.8S ribosomal RNA", at positions 35 to 154 of the family's 154-position model. The record is from RNAcentral.
GAUGAAGAACGUAGCGAAAUGCGAUAAGUAAUGUGAAUUGCAGAAUUCAGUGAAUCAUCGAAUCUUUGAACGUACAUUGCGCCCUCUGGUAUUCCGGGGGGCAUGCCUGUUCGAGCGUCAUUAUAACCACUCAAGCUCUCGCUUGGUAUUGGGGUUCGCGGUUCCGCGGCCCCUAAAAUCAGUGGCGGUGCCUGUCGGCUCUACGCGUAGUAAUACUCCUCGCGAUUGAGUCCGGUAGGUCUACUUGCCAGCAACCCCCAAUUUUUACAGGUUGACCUCGGAUCAGGUAGGGAUACCCGCUGAACUUAAGCAUAUCAAUAAGCGGAGGA